RNAcentral lists this ribosomal RNA (407 nucleotides) under uncultured Dermacoccus sp. Its description in RNAcentral is "bacterial SSU rRNA". It matches the Rfam family "Bacterial small subunit ribosomal RNA", at positions 353 to 772 of the family's 1533-position model. Lineage: Bacteria; Bacillati; Actinomycetota; Actinomycetes; Micrococcales; Dermacoccaceae. The record is from RNAcentral.
AGUGGGGAAUAUUGCACAAUGGGCGAAAGCCUGAUGCAGCGACGCCGCGUGAGGGAUGACGGCCUUCGGGUUGUAAACCUCUUUCACCAGGGACGAAGCUAACGUGACGGUACCUGGAGAAGAAGCACCGGCUAACUACGUGCCAGCAGCCGCGGUAAUACGUAGGGUGCGAGCGUUGUCCGGAAUUAUUGGGCGUAAAGAGCUUGUAGGCGGUUUGUCGCGUCUGCUGUGAAAGACCGGGGCUUAACUCCGGUUCUGCAGUGGGUACGGGCAGACUAGAGUGUGGUAGGGGAGACUGGAAUUCCUGGUGUAGCGGUGAAAUGCGCAGAUAUCAGGAGGAACACCGAUGGCGAAGGCAGGUCUCUGGGCCAUUACUGACGCUGAGAAGCGAAAGCAUGGGGAGCGAA